GUGGGGAAUAUUGCGCAAUGGGGGAAACCCUGACGCAGUGACGCCGCGUGAGCGAAGAAGGCCUUAGGGUUGUAAAGCUCUGUUUUAAGGGACGAAUGUCGUGGGGAGUAAUAUGCUCUGCGAAUGACGGUACCUUAAGAGGAAGCCCCGGCUAACUACGUGCCAGCAGCCGCGGUAAGACGUAGGGGGCGAGCGUUGUCCGGAAUUACUGGGCGUAAAGAGCACGUAGGCGGGAACUUAAGUCAGGUGUGAAAGACCGGGGCUCAACUCCGGGGUUGCACUUGAAACUGGGUUUCUUGAGGGCAGGAGAGGAAAGCAGAAUUCCUGGUGUAGCGGUGAAAUGCGUAGAAAUCAGGAGGAAUACCAGUGGCGAAGGCGGCUUUCUGGACUGACCCUGACGCUGAGGUGCGAAAGCGUGGGUAGCAAACAGGAUUAGAAACCCUUGUAGUCC
This 451-nucleotide ribosomal RNA is filed under the name uncultured bacterium. RNAcentral describes it as "partial 16S ribosomal RNA". It matches the Rfam family "Bacterial small subunit ribosomal RNA", at positions 354 to 796 of the family's 1533-position model. The record is from RNAcentral.